This 615-nucleotide long non-coding RNA is filed under the name Trifolium pratense (red clover). Its description in RNAcentral is "long non-coding RNA (TPRA_LNC010203)". The record is from RNAcentral. Lineage: Eukaryota; Viridiplantae; Streptophyta; Magnoliopsida; Fabales; Fabaceae.
ACAUAUAUAAUUGUACUUUAGAAAAGUUUGUCAGGUUCAUGGGUAAACUACUAUAAUUUUUUUUUAAGAGAUAGACACAGACACAAAUAAACUGGUUUAUAACUUAUGACUUAUAAACUCAUAUUAUUAAAAAGAAUCUAUGUGGUAACAAUAUUUCACCAAGAACUUAUAGUUUAUAUUACGAUCUUACUAUUCAAACCUAUUUCAAUUAGAUUUUAUACUUAUAGCUUAUUGUUUUUUCUUUCAAUUUAUCCGGAUUAUUAUUUCAUCUAAAAUCAAAUCUACCCUUUAUAAUUUAUUAAAUUUAUUAAAUAAAUGUAGGCAUAUGAAUGGUAAUAUAUACUAGUACUACUAUUUAUUAAAUUCAUUAUACGAAUGUUUUACUACUAGUACUACUAUUAUGAAAGUUAACGAGACAAAAUUGCAAGUUUGUGAAAGUUAGAAGGACAAAAAUGCAAUUAUACUUAAUUAUAAUCAAGAGUUAAGUUUGAGAAUGAUAUUCUCUAAUGCCAAUUUGAGUAGGCUAAUUUACUUUCUUCAAAAAAAAAAUUGAGAAUGAUCCUAUUUUGUACCCUAGUACUAUUAUAAUAUUAAUGUACACCAUAAGUUAUCGGU